GACGAACGCUGGCGGCGUGCCUAAUACAUGCAAGUCGAACGAAGCUGUUUUAACUGGUGCUUGCACCGACUUAAACAACUGAGUGGCGAACGGGUGAGUAACACGUGGGUAACCUGCCCCAAAGCGGGGGAUAACAUUUGGAAACAGAUGCUAAUACCGCAUAACCACAGAAACCACAUGGUUUCUGUGUCAAAGAUGGUUUCGGCUAUCACUUUGGGAUGGACCCGCGGCGUAUUAGCUAGUUGGUAAGGUAAUGGCUUACCAAGGCAAUGAUACGUAGCCGAACUGAGAGGUUGAUCGGCCACAUUGGGACUGAGACACGGCCCAAACUCCUACGGGAGGCAGCAGUAGGGAAUCUUCCACAAUGGACGAAAGUCUGAUGGAGCAACGCCGCGUGAGUGAGGAAGGUUUUCGGAUCGUAAAACUCUGUUGUCUGAGAAGAACGUGUGCGAGAGUAACUGCUCGUGCAGUGACGGUAUCUGGCCAGAAAGCCACGGCUAACUACGUGCCAGCAGCCGCCGUAA
Molecule: ribosomal RNA, 524 nt
Filed under: uncultured bacterium
Lineage: Bacteria
Description: partial 16S ribosomal RNA
Rfam family: Bacterial small subunit ribosomal RNA
Source: RNAcentral